UACCUACUCUGAAUCCAGAGAACUUAGAGAGAUGCUUUGGUGCCUUCGGGAACUCUGAGACAGGUGCUGCAUGGCGUGUCAGCUCGUGUUGUGAAAUGUUGGGUUAAGUCCCGCAACGAGCGCAACCCUUAUCCUUUGUUGCAGCGGUUCGGCCGGGAACUCAAAGGAGACUGCCAGUGAUAAACUGGAGGAAGGUGGGGAUGACGUCAAGUCAUCAUGGCCCUUACGAGUAGGGCUACACACGUGCUACAAUGGCAUAUACAAAGAGAAGCGACCUCGCGAGAGCAAGCGGACCUCAUAAAGUAUGUCGUAGUCCGGAUUGGAGUCUGCAACUCGACUCCAUGAAGUCGGAAUCGCUAGUAAUCGUGGAUCAGAUGCCACGUA
Molecule: ribosomal RNA, 384 nt
Filed under: uncultured Ornithinibacillus sp.
Lineage: Bacteria; Bacillati; Bacillota; Bacilli; Caryophanales; Bacillaceae
Description: bacterial SSU rRNA
Rfam family: Bacterial small subunit ribosomal RNA
Source: RNAcentral